Molecule: long non-coding RNA, 807 nt
Filed under: Papio anubis (olive baboon)
Lineage: Eukaryota; Metazoa; Chordata; Mammalia; Primates; Cercopithecidae
Description: lncRNA (ENSPANG00000046737.1)
Source: RNAcentral
GUGGAGAACAAAUAAUACUAACGAAAGAUAAGCCAUCCCUUAACAAUAAAAAAGUGAACACCGAAUUUACCACUUUCCCAGAUGGGUUUCAUCAUUUUAAUUUUCUUCUGGAAGGAAGAUAUCGAAUAGACAGAUAUUAAAGUUUGAAUAUUUAUGGGAGUUGGGGCAGGGAUGGAGCUAAUUUUGAAAAUGACAGUUUAUUCAAGAAGCAAUACCUUCCAGUUUGUGAAAAUUACUCUGUAAUUUAUUAAAGACAGUGACAGUGUUUGGCAGUUAGGGUGAAGAGUUUUUCCAAUAUAUAACAUGGUGGUAGCGAGCAUGGUUUCUCUGAAGAGCACCUACUGCAGAGUUAGGCUUAACUCCACCCAACAGCCAAGUCUGAAACAACUGGCGGUACCAUGAGGGCUUUCAUUUUCUUUCUCUUCAUGCUCCUGGCCAUGUUCUCAGACUGGCAGUGCCAGCAGCGAAAACUCAAUCAGAAAAACAAAAUGUCAAUCUGUCUACAAACCAGUCUGUGGUUCUAAUGGAAAAACCUAUGGUAACCACUGCAUACUUAAAGAAGCAAAGUGGUUGAGUAAUGGAAAACUGAGUCUGAAUCAUGAGGGAGAAUGCUCACCAUUUAUGUGAACCAAAUCACUUGGAAGUCAAAAUUCACUGGCAAGUCCCCUUAAACAACGAUUUCCCUGGGAGUUCCAUUGUGAGAUCAGCUUGAAUCUUACAGAUCUGAUGAAUCCUGCAUACUUUUCAAGUUUGUUCCACAUCAAAUAAAGUCAGUUCCAGAGUAAUUUCUGAUUUCUUGGAUUUUUU